Long non-coding RNA from Labeo rohita (rohu), 593 nucleotides. RefSeq lists it as uncharacterized. The record is from RefSeq and is a predicted model, not a curated record. NCBI's taxonomy places the organism in Eukaryota, Metazoa, Chordata, Actinopteri, Cypriniformes, Cyprinidae. The transcript is spliced from 2 exons.
UUUUGGGGACAUCGCAGCGGAUUUUGAACUUUGUAAAGAAGGGUAGGUAAGAAGACUCAUUUGUGAGAGGUGUUCUCUCAUUACUUCACUAUUUUUACUGAUUGUAGUUUACGUAUGAGUUGAUGUCGCGGCAGACAUAGCACUUCAAAGGAAUGGCAGCAGAAAAGCAUUUACGUUAAAUACUGCCGGAGCUUCGUCAAGAACUGAACAUAUGACAUACCAAUCAAGGAGGUAGUGUUGUAACACUGAUGAUUUAGUUUUUUAGGAGUUUGUUUUAAUAUUAUUUCUUUUUCUGUUUUAGUGUUGUGGCUGAAUUAUUUCCUGGCUGUUCGUUGUUUGACCGUCCCAGUCGAAAUAGUGAAUGUUAAAGGUUUGGUUUGGUUUCUUAAGCCAGCGGUAGCCACUGAGUUGACCUCACUGUGUGGAUGGCGGUGGUGAGGUGGCUGGGUUUGUGUGGUGGGUUGAUCACUUUAUUUUUUUUUUUUUUUUGGUUAUUUUUGUAGGCUUGCUGUGCGAUUGCUGUGAGCUUGACUGCUGUGAGAACACUCUUGCUCCUGUACCAUCUCUGUUUUCACUUUCUAGGUAACCUGUGG